UUUUCCAAUAUCAAUAAGCGGAGGAAAAGAAACCAACAGGGAUUGCCUCAGUAACGGCGAGUGAAGCGGCAAAAGCUCAAAUUUGAAAUCCCCCCGGGGAGUUGUAAUUUGAAGAUUGCGUCUUGGAGGCGACCGUGUCUAUGUUCCUUGGAACAGGACGUCACAGAGGGUGAGAAUCCCGUGCGGCACGGCCCCCGGCUCCUUAUAAGGCGCUCUCGACGAGUCGAGUUGUUUGGGAAUGCAGCUCAAAGUGGGUGGUAAAUUCCAUCUAAAGCUAAAUACAGGCGAGAGACCGAUAGCGAACAAGUACAGUGAUGGAAAGAUGAAAAGCACUUUGAAAAGAGAGUGAAACAGCACGUGAAAUUGUUGAAAGGGAAGGGCAUGCCGUCAGAUUGUCAGUGUGGGUAAGAAGCGGGGUACAAAGACUGUGGAACGUGGCCCUCGGGUGUUAUAGCCGCAGUUCAUGCCCCGUCUCUUUCCGAGGCCUGCUUUGAGGACACCGACGUAAU
RNAcentral lists this ribosomal RNA (509 nucleotides) under Kodamaea ohmeri. RNAcentral describes it as "eukaryotic LSU rRNA". It matches the Rfam family "Eukaryotic large subunit ribosomal RNA", at positions 33 to 540 of the family's 3401-position model. Lineage: Eukaryota; Fungi; Ascomycota; Pichiomycetes; Serinales; Debaryomycetaceae. The record is from RNAcentral.